Molecule: ribosomal RNA, 470 nt
Filed under: uncultured bacterium
Lineage: Bacteria
Description: bacterial SSU rRNA
Rfam family: Bacterial small subunit ribosomal RNA
Source: RNAcentral
AGAGUUUGAUCCUGGCUCAGAACGAACGCUGGCGGCAGGCUUAACACAUGCAAGUCGAACGAAGGCUUCGGCCUUAGUGGCGCACGGGUGAGUAACACGUGGGAAUAUACCUCUCGGUGGGGAAUAACGUUGGGAAACUGACGCUAAUACCGCAUACGCCCUUAGGGGGAAAGAUUUAUCGCCGAGAGAUUAGCCCGCGUCCGAUUAGCUAGUUGGUGAGGUAAAAGCUCACCAAGGCGACGAUCGGUAGCUGGUCUGAGAGGAUGAUCAGCCACACUGGGACUGAGACACGGCCCAGACUCCUACGGGAGGCAGCAGUGGGGAAUAUUGGACAAUGGGCGCAAGCCUGAUCCAGCCAUGCCGCGUGAGUGAUGAAGGCCUUAGGGUUGUAAAGCUCUUUCGACGGGGACGAUGAUGACGGUACCCGUAGAAGAAGCCCCGGCUAACUUCGUGCCAGCAGCCGCGGUAAU